This 301-nucleotide ribosomal RNA is filed under the name uncultured bacterium. RNAcentral describes it as "partial 16S ribosomal RNA". It matches the Rfam family "Bacterial small subunit ribosomal RNA", at positions 509 to 810 of the family's 1533-position model. The record is from RNAcentral.
CAGUAGCCACGGUAACACGGGGGGGCAAGUGUUAUUCGGAAUGACUGGGCGUAAGGGCACGUAGGCGGUGAAAAGGGUGGAAAGUGAAAGUCGCCAAAACACUGGCGGGGUGCUUUCUUGACCAUUUCACUUGAGUGAGAUAGGGGAGAGUGGAAUUUCGUGUGGAGGGAUCAAAUCCUAAGAUAUACGAAGGAACGCCAACCGCGAAGGCAGCUCUCUGGGUCCCCACUGACGCUGGGGUGCGAAAGCAUGGGGAGCAAACAGGAUCAGAGACCCCUGUAGUCCCUGUCUCUUAUACACA